GCCCAUUUUGCCCGCCCGCCGAGAAGAGCCGUGCGCGGCCUACACGCUCCGGGGACCUCCCGCCAGCGGCAUCACUGCCCCCGCCGGCCUUCUCGCGCCCAGGGGACACUCUUUGGAAAUUGGGUCCCGAGUUAAGGUGUUCUUUUAUUUUGUUUCCAAGUUAGGGGCCCUAAAUUUGGGACCACUCUUUCACUGGACCACUUCCGGUAACCGGCCCGCGCCCCGUAACUUCGGUUCGGUGACCUCGGCUCGGAAUGCGCCUCGGCUCGCCCCGGGCUCACGUCCCGAUCUCGGCUUGAGUGGCCCGGGGUGGGUGACCUGAAGUUGUAGCCUCGCUGCUCUUGAGGCGGAUUAAUUAGCCCAAGAAACACUAUAUUCAUGCUUAGCUGGAGAAAAGCAGGGCUAGCAUUGGACCCCAAAGCCCAGGAUGGCAGGACAGGAUGUGGGGGCCCCACCCGAUCGCCUCUGGGUUCACCAAGAGGGUGUCUACCGCGACGAGUACCAGCGCACGUGGGUGGCCGUCCUCGAAGAGGAGACGAGCUUCCUAAGGGCCCGAGUUCAGCAAGUUCAGGUUCCUUUAGGUGAUGCAGCCAGGCCAAGCCACCUUCUCACCUCCCAGCUACCUCUCAUGUGGCAACUCUACCCCGAGGAGCGCUACAUGGACAACAACUCUCGCUUGUGGCAAAUCCAGCAUCAUUUAAUGGUCAGGGGCGUACAGGAGCUGUUGCUUAAGCUUUUGCCUGAUGAUUAACCGGGUGCUGGGAUUCUAGGAAGAGAUGCUCCACUGUUCUGUUCAGUAAAUGACAAUCACGACAUUCACCACUGCAGUGCACCCACCUGUGGGCCUGGGGGUGGGGUGGGGCACGGGGUGAAAAACUGCUCAAGAACACAGAAGUUUAGAAAGGGCCAUGAAGAACACGGAAAGUGGAACUGCAGAGGAAGGGUUAUGCAGGCAGAAAGCAAGCCAACACAAGCACGUAGUUAGGAUACGUAACUUGCCAUUGACUCCUUUGGAAAUUGCCAUAGACCCGUUAACGGACAUCAUCCGCUGGACCUGGGAUCUGAUGAAUCCCACAAAAGUCAGCACCUGCUACAGAACAGAUGCCCCGAUCACCAAGGACUUGGUACUGAUUUAGAGAGAAGAGAGCAACUGCUAGCAGCAUCAGCAUCUCUUUGUCGCUUAUUUGCCCUGCAGCAAUUCACCUGCCUUUCCUUCUCCCAUCCUGUAAAUAUCCUAGGUUUUGCGCCAGUGUUUCCCAUCCCAGUACUGACCUAACUCAGAUCUACUGAGAAGUUAGGGGGCUCUGAGGGGAAAAAAAGAGAGAAAGGAGAUUAUUUGCAUUCAUGAAAUAGCUACCAAGGCUCCUGGGCCUUUUUCCUUUCUGAAAUGGUGUCUUCACAUUAUUAGAAGUUGCUGAUCAGAAUCAUGGGCACUUAAGUUUAUUCUCUGGUUUCAAAUAUCUGAAGUUGGUUUCUGUAAGAACUCCAAGAAAAAAUUUAACUGCUUACCUAGCACCUUUCUCAGGAAGUAGUAAUAGCACCAAAUAUUGCUGAUUCACUACCCGAUAAAGACAUUCCCUGAGUUAAAAUACUCAUAGCACUUUAUGUACAUUAAAAGUAAGGUUUUACUUGUUAAAAAAUCUCGGGAAUAAUAGCAAUCAUGUGUUCAGUCCUUACUGCCUUCCAGGCACUGUUCUAUGCAGUUUAUCGCCUUUAUGACAUUUAAUCCUUCCAUCAGUGCUUUCAGGUAGGUAUUAUCCCUAUUUUACACAUCAAUAAUUAGGAAAAAGGCUCAAGGAGUUAAAUCGUUUGUAAAGGUGGUUCUGUAAGUCAUAGAGCCGUCAGGUUGCAGCUCUGGCUCCUCUAGCCCAAUGUUGGUUUACAGUGGUCAAGAUGAGUUGAAUUCAAGGGUUUUUUUCAAGCUAUUUAUAUCUUCCAAGCCAAAUGCAAUAUUAUACAAAUACAGCAUAUUCAUCCUCUGAAAUGGAAGAAUGUUUUAGUGUAAUUGUUUUCCAGCAAUUGUAAGAGCAUACUGCUUGUCUCAGAAGAAAAUUCCAUCUAGAGGGGGUUUAAAGUCUUUAUGUAUAAAAAACAAAAUAAACAUAAUUUUUCUUAUUUUAGUUUUCUGGAUAUGCCGCAGAAGGAUCCGUGCCAGAAACAAGCCUGUGAAAUACAGAAAUGUUUACAAGCCAACAACUACAUGGAAUCUAAGUGUCAGGCUGUCAUCGAAGAACUGCGUAAGUGUUGUGCUCGAUAUCCCAAGGGAAGAU
Dama dama (fallow deer) is the source of this 2270-nucleotide RNA transcript. It is a transcript of the gene named mature T cell proliferation 1, with no coding region annotated. NCBI's taxonomy places the organism in Eukaryota, Metazoa, Chordata, Mammalia, Artiodactyla, Cervidae. The record is from RefSeq and is a predicted model, not a curated record. The transcript has 6 exons.